AGCCUUAAGAAUUAUUUAAGGUAAUACCUGCCCAGUGCGUGAUAAGUUAACGGCCGCAGUACCCUGACUGUGCUAAGGUAGCAUAAUAAGUUGGCUUUUAAAUGGAGCCGGGAAUGAAUGGAUAAAUGGGGCUAAGCUGUCUCUACUAUAAUUACUUGAAGUUAUUUAUUAGGUGAAAAUACCUACAAUAAGAAGAAAGACGAGAAGACCCUAGGAGUUUUUACUAACAAACAUUUAUGUUUUCCGUUUUUGUUGGGGCGACAAGGGAAGAUAAAAACUUCCUGUAUUUAAUAUGCCGAUUACUAUAAGCAAAGAUAAACUACCCUAGGGAUAACAGCGUAAUUCUAUAAGGAGUUUGCGACCUCGAUGUUGGACUAGGAAUUGGAGGGGCUAGCCGCCUCUUUUUAUUGUUCUGUUCGAACUUAAUUUCC
This 431-nucleotide ribosomal RNA is filed under the name Ercolania sp. 6 JEV-2014. RNAcentral describes it as "partial 16S ribosomal RNA". It matches the Rfam family "Bacterial large subunit ribosomal RNA", at positions 1832 to 2595 of the family's 2925-position model. Lineage: Eukaryota; Metazoa; Mollusca; Gastropoda; Limapontiidae. The record is from RNAcentral.